RNAcentral lists this ribosomal RNA (435 nucleotides) under uncultured Bacillota bacterium. RNAcentral describes it as "bacterial SSU rRNA". It matches the Rfam family "Bacterial small subunit ribosomal RNA", at positions 917 to 1359 of the family's 1533-position model. The record is from RNAcentral. Lineage: Bacteria; Bacillati; Bacillota.
GGGCCCGCACAAGCAGUGGAUCAUGUGGUUUAAUUCGAAGCAACGCGAAGAACCUUACCAGGUCUUGACAUCCCGUGCAUACUCUGGAGACAGAGGAAGCCCUUCGGGGCACGGAGACAGGUGGUGCAUGGUUGUCGUCAGCUCGUGUCGUGAGAUGUUGGGUUAAGUCCCGCAACGAGCGCAACCCUUGUUGCUAGUUGCUACGCAAGAGCACUCUAGUGAGACUGCCGUUGACAAAACGGAGGAAGGUGGGGAUGACGUCAAAUCAUCAUGCCCUUUAUGACCUGGGCUACACACGUGAUACAAUGGCGCUUAACAGAGGGAAGCGAAAGAGCGAUCUGGAGCAAACCCCCAAAAAGCGUCUCAGUUCGGAUCGCAGGCUGCAACCCGCCUGCGUGAAGUCGGAAUUGCUAGUAAUCGCGGAUCAGCAUGCCG